RNAcentral lists this ribosomal RNA (237 nucleotides) under uncultured Actinomycetales bacterium. RNAcentral's name for it is "partial 16S ribosomal RNA". It matches the Rfam family "Bacterial small subunit ribosomal RNA", at positions 96 to 334 of the family's 1533-position model. Lineage: Bacteria; Bacillati; Actinomycetota; Actinomycetes; Actinomycetales. The record is from RNAcentral.
UGGCGAACGGGUGAGUAACACGUGAGUAACCUGCCCUUGACUUUGGGAUAACUUCAGUAAACUGGGGCUAAUACCAGAUAGGAGCUCCUGCUGCAUGGUGGGGGUUGGAAAGUUUCGGCGGUUGGGGAUGGACUCGCGGCUUAUCAGCUUGUUGGUGGGGUAGUGGCUUACCAAGGCUUUGACGGGUAGCCGGCCUGAGAGGGUGACCGGCCACAUUGGGACUGAGAUACGGCCCAG